GCCGGGAUAGCUCAGUUGAUAGAACAAAUGACUGAAAAUCCGCGUGUGACCGGUAUAAAUA
This 61-nucleotide transfer RNA is filed under the name Scapania koponenii. RNAcentral's name for it is "partial tRNA-Phe". Lineage: Eukaryota; Viridiplantae; Streptophyta; Jungermanniopsida; Jungermanniales; Scapaniaceae. The record is from RNAcentral.